AUGUCUAAGUUGAAAAACACAAACAAAAAAGGUUUUGAAAAGAGGGAGAGAUUUGAAAUUAAAGAAGUGGGAGGAGAUGAAGGGACUACCCUGGAAAAAAAUUAAAAGUUAAGAGUUGAAAAGAUCUUACCAAUGGGAUGCAAUCCACAAGACAAGAAUGUCAGAUAGAAAUCCAUUUUCCUUUGGACUUUAGCAGGCAACAAGUAUAAGCAAUAUCCA
Molecule: long non-coding RNA, 219 nt
Filed under: Lathyrus oleraceus (garden pea)
Lineage: Eukaryota; Viridiplantae; Streptophyta; Magnoliopsida; Fabales; Fabaceae
Description: Pisum sativum (pea) long non-coding RNA (PSAT_LNC001560)
Source: RNAcentral